GCUACGAGGACAAUCAAUGCAUAUGGCACACAAUGACCUAUACUUGAUAUCGCUAUCAUCUUAAUAAUAGCGUAUCGUUUGGUCGUGAACCAGUUUAAGAACUACACAAUCAAUCCUCCUUUAUCGAUUAAAGUAAUCCUAAGGACUUCAUCACAACAUAGAAGUUCAUUAGAAGAUGUAACCUUAUGAUGAAAAAGUCUAAAUAACUUUUAUUAU
RNAcentral lists this long non-coding RNA (216 nucleotides) under Elaeis guineensis (African oil palm). Its description in RNAcentral is "long non-coding RNA (EGUI_LNC064925)". The record is from RNAcentral. Lineage: Eukaryota; Viridiplantae; Streptophyta; Magnoliopsida; Arecales; Arecaceae.